RNAcentral lists this ribosomal RNA (311 nucleotides) under uncultured Pseudomonadota bacterium. RNAcentral's name for it is "bacterial SSU rRNA". It matches the Rfam family "Bacterial small subunit ribosomal RNA", at positions 29 to 351 of the family's 1533-position model. Lineage: Bacteria; Pseudomonadati; Pseudomonadota. The record is from RNAcentral.
AUUGAACGCUGGCGGCAUGCCUAACACAUGCAAGUCGAACGGGGGUAGUGAUACCCCAGUGGCGGACGGGUGAGUAACGCGUAGGAAUCUGCCUGGUAGAGGGGGACAACCUGGGGAAACCCAGGCUAAUACCGCAUGAGCUCGCGAGAGGAAAGCGGGGGACCUUCGGGCCUCGCGCUACCGGAUGAGCCUACGUCCGAUUAGCUGGUUGGUGGGGUAACGGCCCACCAAGGCGACGAUCGGUAGCUGGUCUGAGAGGACGAUCAGCCACACUGGGACUGAGACACGGCCCAGACUCCUACGGGAGGCAG